CAAUCAAAGUUGUUGUGAUGUG
Molecule: microRNA, 22 nt
Filed under: Magallana gigas (Pacific oyster)
Lineage: Eukaryota; Metazoa; Mollusca; Bivalvia; Ostreida; Ostreidae
Description: Mgi-Mir-2-o62_5p* (star (passenger))
Source: RNAcentral